Molecule: long non-coding RNA, 1478 nt
Organism: Pygocentrus nattereri (red-bellied piranha)
Lineage: Eukaryota; Metazoa; Chordata; Actinopteri; Characiformes; Serrasalmidae
Source: Ensembl
AGCCAGUGAGGAGCUUCAGGAUAAAGACUGUGCUGAUGGUCUUCAACUGCUAUUGAUCGUCAUCCUGAUAUUGAUCGUAAUCUUCUCUGCAAAAAAACAACAAAGUGCUGAUUUGAACAAACCACAAGCCUCUGGUGAGCAGCGCACCCACAGCCAGACACAAUCACACCUGCUUUCAGCUUUCCACCCCUCCGUCCUCUGUGCAAAAGUGUGAAAUGAAGUGUUGUUGUCUCAAACGCAGUGAGUAAGAUUUUAUCAUUAGACACUGUAAAGCUGUAAAACUGUAAUUCGCCACGUUAGAGAAACACAUUCUCCCAAAUAUGGAAUCAAACCAUGUUCGUCUAUGUUUGUUAAAAGUAGCUUUAAUGCUUUUGAUGCUGAAAAGCUGCAGAAAACCAAUAAAAUGCAGAAGUGGGCUGAAGAGAAGACGCUGGUAGGAACUGUUUCAAUACAAAAGCAGGACAGAACGUCGGCUUUUCACUGAUAUCGACCGUUUAAGACAGAAUAUAUGAUCAAAUCAGUUCUAUGAUCUUGAUGAUCACAGUGGAACUCCGUGGAACCACAGAUGACCAUUAAAUCUGUUGCACUCUUCAGAAAUAUGGAGCCAGUGUUUUUGGAGGUUUCUCAGAUUUUUCAGGUAUUUUAGAUGGUCAGUAGAGGUCAUCUGUGAAAUUACAGCCGAUGUCAUUUUUAAAAAUCUUCAAAAUUCAAGAAGCAGAAGUUAAAAAGACGGCUUGAUUUCCUGCUUCAUGUCAGAUGAUCUGUGUGUGUCCGUGUGAGUUUUAGGUGAGGACAGUGAGAGAGAGGAGCUGUGGCGUCUCCACGACGGUGUGUUUUAUCUGUUCUGGGAGGCUGAGGGGAGCUGCACCGAGGCCCUGAACUUCUGUGAAGAUAGAAACUCCAGAAUGGGCACCGUUACACAUGAGAACAAGGAUGGUACUACGACUGGACCCCCGAAUAAGACCCUCCGUCAGUGUCCGCUGGAUAAAGGAAACUCAGCAAACUCGGAGGAGGUGCAGGGCUGGGUGUGUGAAAGUGAUCAACUGAAACAUCUCCAAAUCCCCAAAUUUCCGACUCAGACACCAUAUCUAUUUGAUUUUUAUGACGGCAUCGUUUUUGAUGAGUAUGAGGAAGUAGCUAUUUCUCCUACUAUGGAUUAUGACCAUUUCAUUUUAUUAGCACCUGAGCGUGAAAGCGCUGCGUCCUCUGCAGCGUCUCCUCUCUCUGUGAACUCUCUGGUCUGCAUUGUUACAGUCUCUGUUCUGGCUUCACUGCGUCCACUGCACCUCUGAGUCUAUGCAGAAAAGUCACCCUUAUGUCAUUUAAUGUCCAGGUACCAGUCAUUUGGAAGGUCCACUGGAGAUUCUUUGUCAGUGUUCAGUAUAUAUUUAAAAAACAUUCAACUGAAAAGUCAGAUAAAGCCACUGAACUUGAAGUUGUAAAUGCUCAGCCUGAAUACCCAUUAAACUAAAUACCUA